CAAAUUAAAGCUUAAUUAGUGAAGUGAUUUAUUUACAUUAAAUAGAGGUUGUGCAAAUCAAUAUAAUUUGA
Molecule: transfer RNA, 71 nt
Filed under: Mystonectes coelamboides
Lineage: Eukaryota; Metazoa; Arthropoda; Insecta; Coleoptera; Dytiscidae
Description: tRNA-Val
Source: RNAcentral